Molecule: transfer-messenger RNA, 357 nt
Filed under: Oscillospiraceae
Lineage: Bacteria; Bacillati; Bacillota; Clostridia; Eubacteriales
Also listed under: 1 other name
Description: CAG-353 sp018110985 Standard tmRNA
Rfam family: transfer-messenger RNA
About the family: Bacterial tmRNA, also known as 10Sa RNA or SsrA, is named for its dual tRNA and mRNA-like properties. Its role is to liberate the mRNA from a stalled ribosome.
Source: RNAcentral
GGGGAUGCAAUGGCUUCGACGGGGACUUUGAAGCAUGAUAAGCGAGCAGAGGACCGUGCUGAGAACUCUUAAAACCGCACGCGUUUUAAAAUUAGACGACAACGAUAAUUUUGAACUGAUGGCUGCCUAAGGCACCGUCCGUCCGCCCCUGAGGACUGCGGCAGGGAAUCGGGCGUCGUGAAGCAGUGAACGCCUUUCGGGAGCCGCCUGCGGCCCGAUCGGUGUACAGCGGGCUACCGGAGGUAUAAGGGUGCCUUUCCCCGUAUACUCCCGGGAAUCUUAAAUGACAGGCUGCGCUCGGAGAAGUUCGUGUGGAUCGGUUUUCGGACACGGGUUCGAUUCCCGUCAUCUCCACCA